This 429-nucleotide ribosomal RNA is filed under the name Bacteroidota bacterium. RNAcentral describes it as "Bacteroidetes bacterium partial 16S ribosomal RNA". It matches the Rfam family "Bacterial small subunit ribosomal RNA", at positions 355 to 776 of the family's 1533-position model. Lineage: Bacteria; Pseudomonadati; Bacteroidota. The record is from RNAcentral.
UAGGGAAUCUUCCGCAAUGGGCGAAAGCCUGACGGAGCAACGCCGCGUGAGUGAUGAAGGUCUUCGGAUCGUAAAACUCUGUUAUUAGGGAAGAACAAAUGUGUAAGUAACUAUGCACGUCUUGACGGUACCUAAUCAGAAAGCCACGGCUAACUACGUGCCAGCAGCCGCGGUAAUACGUAGGUGGCAAGCGUUAUCCGGAAUUAUUGGGCGUAAAGCGCGCGUAGGCGGUUUUUUAAGUCUGAUGUGAAAGCCCACGGCUCAACCGUGGAGGGUCAUUGGAAACUGGAAAACUUGAGUGCAGAAGAGGAAAGUGGAAUUCCAUGUGUAGCGGUGAAAUGCGUAGAUAUAUGGAGGAACACCAGUGGCGAAGGCGACUCUCUGGUCUGUAACUGACGCUGAGGCUCGAAAGCGUGGGUAGCAAACAGG